GCCGAGAUGGCGGAACUUGGUAAACGCGCUAGCCUUGAGAGCUAGAGGGCUUCGGCCCACGCAGGUUCAAAUCCUGCUCUCGGCG
RNAcentral lists this transfer RNA (85 nucleotides) under Candidatus Aenigmatarchaeota archaeon. RNAcentral's name for it is "tRNA-Ser". It matches the Rfam family "tRNA". From Rfam's summary of the family: Transfer RNA (tRNA) molecules are approximately 80 nucleotides in length. The record is from RNAcentral. Lineage: Archaea; Nanobdellati; Candidatus Aenigmatarchaeota.